GAUGAAGAACGUAGCAAAAUGCGAUAAGUAAUGUGAAUUGCAGAAUUCAGUGAAUCAUCGAAUCUUUGAACGCACAUUGCGCCCGCUGGUACUCCGGCGGGCAUGCCUGUUCGAGCGUCAUUUCAACCCUCAAGCCCCCGGGUUUGGUGUUGGGGAUCGGCUCUGCCCUUCUGGGCGGUGCCGCCCCCGAAAUACAUUGGCGGUCUCGCUGCAGCCUCCAUUGCGUAGUAGCUAACACCUCGCAACUGGAACGCGGCGCGGCCAUGCCGUAAAACCCCAACUUCUGAAUGUUGACCUCGGAUCAGGUAGGAAUACCCGCUGAACUUAAGCAUAUCAAAAGCGGAGGA
This 347-nucleotide unclassified non-coding RNA is filed under the name soil metagenome. Its description in RNAcentral is "partial contains 5.8S ribosomal RNA, internal transcribed spacer 2, and large subunit ribosomal RNA". The stretch from base 1 to 120 matches the Rfam family "5.8S ribosomal RNA", at positions 35 to 154 of the family's 154-position model. The record is from RNAcentral.